RNAcentral lists this vault RNA (105 nucleotides) under Lates calcarifer (barramundi perch). Its description in RNAcentral is "Vault RNA (ENSLCAG00010006567.1)". It matches the Rfam family "Vault RNA". From Rfam's summary of the family: This family of RNAs are found as part of the enigmatic vault ribonucleoprotein complex. The complex consists of a major vault protein (MVP), two minor vault proteins (VPARP and TEP1), and several small untranslated RNA molecules. The record is from Rfam by way of RNAcentral. Lineage: Eukaryota; Metazoa; Chordata; Actinopteri; Centropomidae.
GCACUGGUGUAGCUCAGUGGUUACUUCGAUUAUCAAUUCUCUCUGCAGAAUUCGCUGAUCUCUCUCCCGUCCGGGAUCGAGCCACGGGUGCUGUCCAGUGUUUUU